This 22-nucleotide microRNA is filed under the name Macaca mulatta (Rhesus monkey). RNAcentral describes it as "Mml-Mir-653_5p (mature (guide))". Lineage: Eukaryota; Metazoa; Chordata; Mammalia; Primates; Cercopithecidae. The record is from RNAcentral. RNAcentral also lists the same sequence under 3 other names.
UUGAAACAAUCUCUACUGAACC